GGUUACUGCUAUCGGUGUUCGCCUAAGCCAUGCGAGUCAUAUGUUCUUCGGAACAUGGCGUACUGCUCAGUAACACGUGGAUAACCUGCCCUUGGGUCCGGCAUAACCCCGGGAAACUGGGGAUAAUUCCGGAUAACGCACAUAUGCUGGAAUGCUUUAUGCGUCAAAUGGAUUCGUCCGCCCAAGGAUGGGUCUGCGGCCUAUCAGGUAGUAGUGGGUGUAAUGUACCUACUAGCCUACGACGGGUACGGGUUGUGAGAGCAAGAGCCCGGAGAUGGAUUCUGAGACAUGAAUCCAGGCCCUACGGGGCGCAGCAGGCGCGAAAACUUUACAAUGCGGGAAACCGUGAUAAGGGGACACCGAGUGCCAGCAUCAUAUGCUGGCUGUCCGGGUGUGUAAAAUACACCUGUUAGCAAGGGCCGGGCAAGACCGGUGCCAGCCGCCGCGGUAACACCGGCGGCCCGAGUGGUGAUCGUGAUUAUUGGGUCUAAAGGGUCCGUAGCCGGUUUGGUCAGUCCUCCGGGAAAUCUGACGGCUUAACCGUUAGGCUUUCGGGGGAUACUGCCAGACUUGGAACCGGGAGAGGUAAGAGGUACUACAGGGGUAGGAGUGAAAUCUUGUAAUCCCUGUGGGACCACCUGUGGCGAAGGCGUCUUACCAGAACGGGUUCGACGGUGAGGGACGAAAGCUGGGGGCACGAACCGGAUUAGAUACCCGGGUAGUCCCAGCCGUAAACGAUGCUCGCUAGGUGUCAGGCAUGGCGCGACCGUGUCUGGUGCCGCAGGGAAGCCGUGAAGCGAGCCACCUGGGAAGUACGGC
RNAcentral lists this ribosomal RNA (819 nucleotides) under uncultured archaeon. Its description in RNAcentral is "bacterial SSU rRNA". It matches the Rfam family "Archaeal small subunit ribosomal RNA", at positions 21 to 841 of the family's 1478-position model. The record is from RNAcentral.